AAACAGCAGUGUGGUCUGGACCCGCAAAACACACUGCAGGCCUUCCCCACGGCCCCCCAGCACAGCAGCGACCCACUCUAGCCAGGACGGUGGGACAGGGAGAGAUUCAGCCUGGAGCGAUGGACGCGGGCCCGAAACUCACUCCGUGGUGGCUGUGAAGUCUGCGGUUCUUGGCAACAACAGUUUGAGAACAGAUGUUCUGCUCUGCAUUUCUCUAAACCUCCCAAAAGUCCUUCGUUCUCAGACUUCUAACGGUAUCAGACCGGGGAGGAACUGACAACUUCACCCUGAAGACUUCUGAGUUGCACAACUUCGGUUUGAGCGAGCUGGAAUAAUUGCAGAGACUUCCAAGAUGGCGCCAUUGGGUGCUUGGGGGAUAUUUCCAGAGGCGGCCGGGCAUGGAGCGUCCGCAGAGUGGAGAAAGUGACAGGGGAGAUGAUGGGACAACCUGCAAUUUAACCGACAGGCGAACGCAAAGACGCCCUGGUCCUCCGCGUGGAGCGGGGCCCGGGGCCCGCCUCCAGAUGGGAGUUGUGCGCCGAGGCAUUCCUCUAGUAUUCUGGGAUGCGGUCUGGAAACGGGGGUGACAGAGUGCUGCCGUGGUUACCAGCAAUUUGACUGUGGGCUUGUCGCUAUUUCAAUCCCCCGCUACCCCCCCCCCCCCUCUUAAAUGUGCAUGCAACAUGUCCUCUUACACACACGCACACACACACACACACACACACAGACACGUGCACAACACACAUGGGCGCACGCAUAUGCUCGUACUCUGAAUGCACAUAGACAGACACACACUGUCAGUGCUGGCUAAUUAUUUUUUUAUUUAAUUUGUUAGUUUAUAUUGUGUGUGUGUGUGUGACCACAGCAACCAAUGGGACAGUGAAAAUGACUAUAAAAUACGCACUAUAGGGGCCACAUAGGGGUUUGUCAAGUAUCGUGUGUGUGUGCUUCAGUUUAAUUCCACUGUGAACAUGCUCUUAAAAGUGUCUGUUUGAUCAUAACGAAUAAUUACGUAAACGAUUGAGGAAAACUGCAGUCAGUUCAGCGGAACAUUUGACUGUGUUACAGUAAUAAAUAAAUAUUU
Gadus chalcogrammus (walleye pollock) is the source of this 1084-nucleotide long non-coding RNA. RefSeq lists it as uncharacterized. The record is from RefSeq and is a predicted model, not a curated record. Lineage: Eukaryota; Metazoa; Chordata; Actinopteri; Gadiformes; Gadidae. The transcript is spliced from 4 exons.